Molecule: ribosomal RNA, 467 nt
Filed under: uncultured bacterium
Lineage: Bacteria
Description: partial 16S ribosomal RNA
Rfam family: Bacterial small subunit ribosomal RNA
Source: RNAcentral
ACGAACGCUGGCGGCGUGCUUAACACCUGCAAGUCGCACGGAAAGGCCCUGCUUUUGUGGGGUGCUCGAGUGGCGAACGGGUGAGUAACACGUGAGUAACCUGCCCUUGACUUUGGGAUAACUUCAGGAAACUGGGGCUAAUACCGGAUAGGAGCUCCUGCUGCAUGGUGGGGGUUGGAAAGUUUCGGCGGUUGGGGAUGGACUCGCGGCUUAUCAGCUUGUUGGUGGGGUAGUGGCUUACCAAGGCUUUGACGGGUAGCCGGCCUGAGAGGGUGACCGGCCACAUUGGGACUGAGAUACGGCCCAGACUCCGACGGGAGGCAGCAGUGGGGAAUAUUGCACAAUGGGCGGAAGCCUGAUGCAGCAACGCCGCGUGCGGGAUGACGGCCUUCGGGUUGUAAACCGCUUUCGCCUGUGACGAAGCGUGAGUGACGGUAAUGGGUAAAGAAGCACCGGCUAACUACGUG